RNAcentral lists this long non-coding RNA (430 nucleotides) under Bos taurus (domestic cattle). RNAcentral describes it as "long non-coding RNA NONBTAT018927". Lineage: Eukaryota; Metazoa; Chordata; Mammalia; Artiodactyla; Bovidae. The record is from RNAcentral.
GGACUCGUAUGGCAGUUAAGUGACCUCUCUAAAAGCAAAUCUCAUCACGCCUAAGGGCUUGUACUCAGUCCAGACUCCUGGCUCUGACCCACAAGGCCAUGCUUCACCUGAUUGUGCAACUGACCAAUCUGGAUUCCUCCCCUUCCUUGGGGCCUGAGGGAAUUCUUGGGACACUGUAUAGCUCCCAUUUCCAUGCCCUUUGCUCAUUGUACUUGCUCUGCCUGGAAUUCUUCAUGUUUCUACCUAAGGAGCCCCCUGUCCCACCAAUCCAAGGUAAGAGUGGUCAUCCUCUUACAAUAGUCAGGCUGUGUUGAAAGGGCUUCUUGAUGCUUCUGUCCAUGCCUGAAAGCAUGAAAGCAGGGUCUGCAUCUUAAUAAUAGAAUCCAACAUCAAUUAGGCUGUGGAGUUGAUAAUCCAUUAUCUCAUUGGA